Perognathus longimembris pacificus (Pacific pocket mouse) is the source of this 642-nucleotide RNA transcript. It is a transcript of the gene named ninjurin-1-like, with no coding region annotated. The transcript has a single exon. Lineage: Eukaryota; Metazoa; Chordata; Mammalia; Rodentia; Heteromyidae. The record is from RefSeq and is a predicted model, not a curated record.
GGAGGCGCGGGUGCACUUAGGUCAGGAGCCAGGUGGCCUGGGAGGCCACAUCAUGGACUGGGCCACCGAGGAGUGCGAGCUCAAUGGCGAGCUGCACCCAGGUUCGCCCAGCUCCUCCACGGCCUCGCCUCCCCCCUGGGGCCCAUCAACUUGAACCAUUAUGGCAACAAGAAGAGUGUGUCCGAGAGCAUGCUGGACAUUGCCCUGUUGAUGGCCAGUGCGUCCCAGCUGAAGGCCGUGGUGGAGCAGGGUCCUGCCUUUGCCUUCUUCGUGCCCCCAGUGGUCCUCAUCUCCGUCUCCCUGGUGCUGCAGAUCGGCGUGGGUGUGCUGCUCAUCUUCCUCCUCAAGUAUGACCUAAACAAUCUAGCCAAACAUGCGAAGCUGGACUUCCUGAGCAACCACGGGCCUGGUAUUCAUCAUCGUGGUGAUCAACAUCUUCAUCACAGCUUUCGGGGUCCAGAAGACUAUAAUUAAUGUGGCAUCCCGGUAAGAGAGAACCCAGAACCUUGAAUGCCACCUGUCCCACAGCCCAGCCACCAGAAACUGCAAGUCCUGAAGGCAUCCCAACUCCAUGUGCAGUACUUCUGGAAAUGGCCAAAGCCCAAACUGGCUUUUGCUGGGCCAUGUCCUGGGACCUGCCGA